UAGGGAAUCUUCCGCAAUGGGCGAAAGCCUGACGGAGCAACGCCGCGUGAGUGAUGAAGGUUUUCGGAUCGUAAAACUCUGUUAUUAGGGAAGAACAUAUGUGUAAGUAACUGUGCACAUCUUGACGGUACCUAAUCAGAAAGCCACGGCUAACUACGUGCCAGCAGCCGCGGUAAUACGUAGGUGGCAAGCGUUAUCCGGAAUUAUUGGGCGUAAAGCGCGCGUAGGCGGUUUUUUAAGUCUGAUGUGAAAGCCCACGGCUCAACCGUGGAGGGUCAUUGGAAACUGGAAAACUUGAGUGCAGAAGAGGAAAGUGGAAUUCCAUGUGUAGCGGUGAAAUGCGCAGAGAUAUGGAGGAACACCAGUGGCGAAGGCGACUUUCUGGUCUGUAACUGACGCUGAUGUGCGAAAGCGUGGGGAUCAAACAGGAUUAGAUACCCUGGUAGUCCACGCCGUAAACGAUGAGUGCUAAGUGUUAGGGGGUUUCCGCCCCUUAGUGCUGCAGCUAACGCAUUAAGCACUCCGCCUGGGGAGUACGACCGCAAGGUUG
Molecule: ribosomal RNA, 550 nt
Filed under: uncultured bacterium
Lineage: Bacteria
Description: bacterial SSU rRNA
Rfam family: Bacterial small subunit ribosomal RNA
Source: RNAcentral